GUGCCAGCCGCCGCGGCAAUACGUAGGGUGCGAGCGUUAAUCGGAAUUACUGGGCGUAAAGCGUGCGCAGGCGGUUUGUUAAUAUAGGCGUGAAAUCCCCGGGCUCAACCUGGGAACUGCGUUUAUGACUGGCAGGCUAGAGUAUGGCAGAGGGGGGUGGAAUUCCACGUGUAGCAGUGAAAUGCGUAGAGAUGUGGAGGAGCACCGGUGGCGAAGGCGACUUCCUGGACCGAAACUGACGCUGAGACGCGAAAGCGUGGGGAGCAAACAGGAUUAGAUACCCUGGUAGUCCACGCUGUAA
RNAcentral lists this ribosomal RNA (301 nucleotides) under uncultured bacterium. RNAcentral's name for it is "bacterial SSU rRNA". It matches the Rfam family "Bacterial small subunit ribosomal RNA", at positions 505 to 805 of the family's 1533-position model. The record is from RNAcentral.